UGGGGCGGAGCCUGAUCCAGCAAUGCCGCGUGGGUGAAGACGGCCUGCGGGUUGUAAAGCCCUUUAGGUGGGGAAGAAGGCCUUGCUGCGAAGAGUGGUGAGGAUUGACAUUACCCACGGAAUAAGCACCGGCUAACUCCGUGCCAGCAGCCGCGG
RNAcentral lists this ribosomal RNA (156 nucleotides) under uncultured bacterium. Its description in RNAcentral is "partial 16S ribosomal RNA". It matches the Rfam family "Bacterial small subunit ribosomal RNA", at positions 372 to 520 of the family's 1533-position model. The record is from RNAcentral.